RNAcentral lists this long non-coding RNA (249 nucleotides) under Elaeis guineensis (African oil palm). Its description in RNAcentral is "long non-coding RNA (EGUI_LNC002996)". The record is from RNAcentral. Lineage: Eukaryota; Viridiplantae; Streptophyta; Magnoliopsida; Arecales; Arecaceae.
GUGGCUGCUUUGUGACUAGAGAAACAAUAGAACCUUCCUUUUCGUAAAAUAAACAAUAGAACCAUCACAAGGCAAGCUUCUUGGUGACUGACAUUAUCCUUAAGAAUAUCAAGGUUUUCUGGUCAGAAUGGUCUUCUGUUGCUUUAAUUAUCUCCUAAACUGGUAUCUGUCAAUCAGUUAUGCUUCUUAAAACUGCAUUUCAUAAACAUUUCAGUUCUCUUGAAAUGAAUUGAUAGAUCUCCCAUCUUU